RNAcentral lists this long non-coding RNA (1468 nucleotides) under Zalophus californianus (California sea lion). Its description in RNAcentral is "lncRNA (ENSZCAG00015013600.1)". Lineage: Eukaryota; Metazoa; Chordata; Mammalia; Carnivora; Otariidae. The record is from RNAcentral.
GUAUUCUCUUAUAAGCAUAUGCCAUAAUUUAUUUAAUUAAUCCCCAGGUUUGAGCCCAUGGGUUGUGUACAAUCUUUCAUUAUUAUAUAAAUAGUGCUCUGAUGGGUGCCGUAGAUUAAAUCUUUGCCCAUAUUCUAUUUUUAUUUCCUUAGAAUAUUUCUAUAAAUGGAAUAGCUGUGUCACAAUUUAGUAACGUUGCAACAACAGCAAUGCAUAUUUUAAAGAUUUUUUGAUCCGUACUGUCAAAUUGUCCUCCAGAAAGGUUGUUCCUGUUCGUAUCAGAACUAGAAUCUUUGACCUUGGCUCAGAAGACGGCAAAGAGACUGGGAAAGAAUGCCUCUAAAUGGUGAGAAGUAAGAGGAUCUGACAUUCUGCUUUUCUCUGGUGCUGGAAAUACCUUUAAGACAGAAUGGGAAUCAGGACUGAGUCUUCAAGACCCCCAGGGUCCCUUGUGUUGACUGGAUUUCAACCAUUUGGAUAAACCCAGCCUUGUACCGCUGUGCUAAGGGGAACAAGGGACAGGGUUUAUAUCCAUAUUUGGACCAGCCUAGUAGUGGGAAUACUGGAAUCAGAGAGCACCCCAAAGGGAGAGCAGGGCUGGCCACUUUGCCUGCUACUGCCUGACCUGGCUAGUCCAUCGGUGCUUUCUCCCCACAAGCAAUAGGGGCUGAGUGGCACUGCUGUAGUAUUGGAAGUCGUUUCUUCUUCCUCUUCUCCUAACCCUUCUCUUUCUUCUCCUUCUUCUUCUUUCCCCCCCAUCUUUCCACGUUCUCUCGCGAGACGAUAUAUCCCAGGAGGGCAGAAACCACGUGAUGCUUCUUUUGUAUAACCAACAAUAGUAGAUAUGGGGAAGAUACUUGCUGAUUCUUCUCACUGUCAAAAUAAGGUAUCAGAUCUUGCCACAGAUUAUACUGGAUGACUAAAAUCUCAGCAGACCUACUGACUACUCCCUCUUCUCUCUCACGGUUUUACAGAUGCAGAUUGGAUUUCUUUCGUCAUGUACAGAGACCAAAGGUGCUGCUGAGACAAGUUUCCGUGCCCUUUCUUGUGUGACUUUUCUGGACUUCACUUCUUGCCUGCUGUACUACAGUGCCCACUUGACCCCUACCACGUAGAUCACUCUCUCUCUCUCUCUCUCUCUCUCUCUCAAUCUCUUACUCACCAGGCCCCUGGUACCUACCUGACCCCGUCUGGCCAGCCAGGGGGCAAUUCUCCCCUCUCUCGACUGCUUCCUGACGUCCAUGCUGUCAUUUGUCAGAGGAGACCAAGACUCAGAAAGUUAAAUUGAAUUCAAAACUGUGCCUUCUAGCCAGUCUCGAGUCCUGAUUUUUAUUCCACUCUAGCUGGGACUGAAUAAUCUCAUUCUACUCCCCCAUCCCCAAUCAGUCCUGGAGGUGAUCUGCACCAACCCCACACCCAUCCCCGAGUUUCCAGCGAGCGCCCAGCACAGGGAAGCUUAGUACACGAU